AUUGAACGCUGGCGGAACGCUUUACACAUGCAAGUCGAACGGCAGAGGGGGCAACCCCUCGAGAGUGGCGAACGGGUGAGUAAUAUAUCGGAACGUGCCCAGUCGUGGGGGAUAACGUAGCGAAAGUUACGCUAAUACCGCAUACGAUCUAAGGAUGAAAGCGGGGGAUCGCAAGACCUCGCGCGAUUGGAGCGGCCGAUAUCAGAUUAGGUAGUUGGUGGGGUAAAGGCUCACCAAGCCAACGAUCUGUAGCUGGUCUGAGAGGACGACCAGCCACACUGGAACUGAGACACGGUCCAGACUCCUACGGGAGGCAGCAGUGGGGAAUUUUGGACAAUAGACGCAAGUCUGAUCCAGCCAUUCCGCGUGCAGGAUGAAGGCCCUCGGGUUGUAAACUGCUUUUGUACGGAACGAAAAGGUCUCUCUUAAUACGGGGGGCUCAUGACGGUACCGUAAGAAUAAGCACCGGCUAACUACGUGCCAGCCGCCGCAGUAA
RNAcentral lists this ribosomal RNA (496 nucleotides) under uncultured bacterium. RNAcentral describes it as "partial 16S ribosomal RNA". It matches the Rfam family "Bacterial small subunit ribosomal RNA", at positions 30 to 523 of the family's 1533-position model. The record is from RNAcentral.